This is a long non-coding RNA of Daphnia carinata, 366 nucleotides long. RefSeq lists it as uncharacterized. Lineage: Eukaryota; Metazoa; Arthropoda; Branchiopoda; Diplostraca; Daphniidae. The record is from RefSeq and is a predicted model, not a curated record. The transcript has 2 exons.
GUACGCAAAGUUGCAGUAUUUGAUGAAAAUUUGAAAUUGAAAAUCACCAAUCUCUUUACUAGAAGGACAUCAGUAUAUUACUGCGAUGAUUGGAAAUCAUGGCUUCUCUUCUCCAAAUCGCAUCCGAUACCAUCAAUAGAUUUCAUCAGUCGGGUCGUUGGGAGAACAUGUUUGGCGGGUUGGCCAUCACGCUUUGAUUUUCUUUUUAAUGAAAGCACAUUUUUCUUUCCUCUCGCCUUGCCCACCACACACAUUUUACGUCGAUGUUGGCACACAUUCACUACCAGACACACGGGCAAGUUACAAGAAGAAAGUAAGGCAGAAAAAUAUUAAGGGAUGUUUAAAAAAAUAAUUAAAAAAUUAAAA